This 71-nucleotide transfer RNA is filed under the name Ictidomys tridecemlineatus (thirteen-lined ground squirrel). RNAcentral describes it as "Spermophilus tridecemlineatus (thirteen-lined ground squirrel) tRNA". It matches the Rfam family "tRNA". Rfam says of the family: Transfer RNA (tRNA) molecules are approximately 80 nucleotides in length. Their secondary structure includes four short double-helical elements and three loops (D, anti-codon, and T loops). The record is from Rfam by way of RNAcentral. Lineage: Eukaryota; Metazoa; Chordata; Mammalia; Rodentia; Sciuridae.
GCAGUAGUGGCUCAGUGGUAGAGCACUUGCCUAGCAUACAUGAGUUGCUGGGUUCGAUUCUCAGCACUGUA